Molecule: ribosomal RNA, 492 nt
Filed under: uncultured bacterium
Lineage: Bacteria
Description: bacterial SSU rRNA
Rfam family: Bacterial small subunit ribosomal RNA
Source: RNAcentral
GAUGAACGCUGGCGGCAUGCCUUACACAUGCAAGUCGAACGGUAACAGGUCUUCGGAUGCUGACGAGUGGCGAACGGGUGAGUAAUACAUCGGAACGUGCCCGAGAGUGGGGGAUAACGGAGCGAAAGCUUUGCUAAUACCGCAUACGAUCUCAGGAUGAAAGCAGGGGACCGCAAGGCCUUGCGCUCACGGAGCGGCCGAUGGCAGAUUAGGUAGUUGGUGGGAUAAAAGCUUACCAAGCCGACGAUCUGUAGCUGGUCUGAGAGGACGACCAGCCACACUGGGACUGAGACACGGCCCAGACUCCUACGGGAGGCAGCAGUGGGGAAUUUUGGACAAUGGGCGCAAGCCUGAUCCAGCCAUGCCGCGUGCAGGAUGAAGGCCUUCGGUUGUAAACUGCUUUGUUACGGAACGAAAAGACUACCUUCUAAUAAAGGGGUCCAGUGACGGUACCGUAAGAAUAAGACACCGGCUAACUACGUGCCAGCAGCC